RNAcentral lists this ribosomal RNA (406 nucleotides) under uncultured bacterium. RNAcentral describes it as "partial 16S ribosomal RNA". It matches the Rfam family "Bacterial small subunit ribosomal RNA", at positions 30 to 526 of the family's 1533-position model. The record is from RNAcentral.
AUUGAACGCUGGCGGCAGGCCUAACACAUGCAAGUCGAACGAGUGGCGGACGGGUGAGUAAUGUCUGGGAAACUGCCCGAUGGAGGGGGAUAACUACUGGAAACGGUAGCUAAUACCGCAUACCAUCGGAUGUGCCCAGAUGGGAUUAGCUAGUAGGUGGGGUAACGGGUAACCUAGGCGACGAUCCCUAGCUGGUCUGAGAGGAUGACCAGCCACACUGGAACUUAGAGCCGGUCCAGACUCCGACGGGAGGCAGCAGUGGGGAAUAUUGCGCAAUGGGCGCAAGCCUGAUGCAGCCAUGCCGCGUGUAUGAUGAAGGCCUUCGGGUUGUAAAGUCCUUUCAGCGAGGAGGCGUUACUCGCAGAAGAAGCCCCGGCUAACUCCGUGCCAGCAGCCGCGGUAAUAC